UUCAUUGGAGUUGAGGGCUCGGAGCAGCAGGCAGCCUUCCCCGUGGGAAGGAUGACAAAUGGGGAGUGCUGCUUCUAGGUGCUCGUACCAACUGGCUUCGUGCGUCCUGGGAUGGGCGGUGUUCACAGGCGCUUCGGGGCUGAGCGCCCACCAAGUGUGGCGCGCGCUUUUGGGAAACUCCGUGGAAGACCAGGACGGACCCCUGGAGGGUUAGGAAGACUUUGAGACCAGCCAGGGGAAGCCGUGUCCCGGGCCCUGACUGUGGAUCUCCUACUCUGAACCACGGACUCCAGUUUGGAAGGCCAGGCUGCCUUUCGGAUUGGGGGGUAAGGAAGGGAUCCCCAGCUCAGGCAGCCUUUUGGGCUAGGGCAAGGGGACCUCUGGAACCACAUUUUUGAAUGCUCCCACCCAUGAUUUCUGGGACAGCUACUGGAGACAAAUAGAGGCUCGAAGGUGUCGGGAGAAAGGCUGUGUUCCUGAUGUCAUGUAGUUGAACUUGGAUGUGGAGGAAGUCCAGCUUCCCCUGCAGAGUAAAACCAAGCCAGCGAAUGUGGGUGGGGGCCAGCAGCUGCCGACCCUCCUGGGUGAUGUGAUGGGCUUAGGUGGUAGGAGCCAGGGGCCUGGGGCCAGAGAGGGCAGCCCUAAGGGGGUCUAGACAGCACCUUCUGCCCAGAAUGGCAGCCUUUGGUACAAGUCUUUAUUUAUGCCAGUGGCAUGAAAAUGUCGCCCGAUGAAUCCCCAGGGGCCCGUUCUUGGCAAAAGCCCUGUCUCCCAGCAAGAUGGGAAGUGAUGUCACAUUGCACUCUCCAGCCCGCUCUUCUGGGGUUGUUCGAGUUGUGAGAUGGUUCGGUGACUGAUGCCUCUCAUUGUCCCAGACCUUGUGCUUCCCCUGGGAGACCCUCCACCCUGGUGGUUGCUUUUUCCUGUCCCCAUGCUUUAGCUUGAGCAUCUCCACCGUGGAGGCUGCCCUUGGAGGCUGCACUGUGCUGGGAGGAGAGGGAGACUGGAGAGGGAGAGGAGGAGGAGAUGGCAGGGGCAGUGGGGCCCUCAGAGCUGGUGCAGUACUGUGCUGAUGUCAUCACUUUUGGGGGCCUGCUGAGGCCUGUGGCUGCUCCAGAAUCGACACCAGGAGCCUCUUGCUCAGCCUGGGACAGGCACAGCAUUGCGGCUGCCAGUCUCCCUGACAAGGACAAGACCUGCACCUUCCAGGCAGAGCCAACUGGCCAGCUGAGGUCCUGCGACUCCUGCAGGGAUGAAGGUAUAAGGAAAAGGUGAGGGCCACGAGAACCGGCAAUGGGACGCUGGCGGGGCUCACCUGGCAAAUUGGCAGCACCAGACUCCGGAAGAGAGGGAGCAGAAGGGAGGCAGGCCGGGGACUGCAGAGAAAGGCGCCAAGGCACUGGCAAGAUCCUAGCGCCUCAGAUCCUGACCGUGGCACCUCCCCACCGACCAUUUUCACUUUUCACCCAAUGCAGUCGGUAGUUUGCUCUGCGCUUCUCAUUCUCAGCAGUUCUGAUUAAAGAUCAGAUCCCAUUUUCCUUUUAUGCCUUUAAACUUUAAGCCUGGCCACCCAAGACAAAUGCUCUAUUCAAAGCUGGAAGAUACUUAGAAAUCAUCUGUUACAAGUCCCCAAGCUCAGCGAUGAGGACAGUGAGGCCCAGAGAUUAACCGACUUUCCCAAGGACACAGGAAGCUCAGGGCAGACCUGGGAUUCCCUGGGACAUGUGGGACACGGAUGAGAUCAUCAGCGCUCAACCCAUCAGGCAUCCUGACUCAGAUGCAGUAGGACAAGGUGGAGGAGAUGCCGCUGUCCCGUCGGUCUGGGGACAGCCCAGCUCCCCGGAUCCCGGGCUGGAGAGACGCGUCGCGGCCCCGGGGCCUGGUGGCACGAGCAGGAAGGAGGACCCGGCGGCGGGCUCUGCCUGGGCUUGCCUGGGCUUGUUCCGAGCCGGGCUGCUUCUCGGUGACCACGCAGAUCGGGGGCAUUUGGAGAUUUUGCGGGAGUCCUGCAGCCAAGCUCCGGGGCAGGAGAGGCCUGGAAGCCUGCACUACCUGCUCGCCCCGUCCCAGCAUGCACCCAGGUAAACGCUUGUGUUUCUCAGUCCGUGCGAAAGUUUGCAAAGAAGGAGGCGGGAACUAGACCAACAACUUUAAUAAUCAUAGUCAUAAUAAUGAAAACCCUGUUCAAUUGUGUAGCCUCCGUAAGGGGAAGAAUUUCCAAGAAGCAACAAAAUGUUCUUUGAUUUCAUAAUCUCUGGGGAGAAAGGAUUCCUUUUUUGGGGUUUUGCUCGGCUAGUUCUUUCUUCCCUCCUCUAUCUCCAGCGUGGGGCGAGGAAGGCCGACUGGUUCAUGGGUGGCAAAUGGGGACCCUGGCUCUCUUGCGCUGCUGGCCACGGUGAUAUUGCAGCAAAUGCUCAACCUCCCCAGUUCCUCUCCUCACCUUGAAAGUGGAGGCAUUGAUACUAGCCACCCAUGGUUGCAAAAAACUCGCAUGAAAGGGAAAGGAAAAGUGCUUCGGUCACUAAAGUAGCGUUGUCUAAGAGGUCAAGGCUUUGGAAGACUUUUGCUCUAGAAGAGGGGAACGGGAGAGGGGCUUUCAGCCAACCUGGCCCCGAGGUGAACGCGCGCGCCCCCUGCUGGCUGGAGCCCUGUCCAGCCUGUGAGCCGCCAGUGGGGAAGGAGACUGAGGGGAGGUGGUCCCUGGAGUUCCUUGCUCCUGGCCUGGAGCAGCAGGUGCCAGUGCUCCUGAGGCCCCCUCUCUCAGGUUACGUGGAUGGGGCCUGUAGCACAGACAGGGCACAUGCUUCAGCACCUCCCUGUUUCUGCGUCAGGUGGGGGACAUGAGCUAGGCUCUGCAGAAGGUUCCAGAGCCUGGGCCUUCCUGUUGCAUCCACACUAGGCUCCUGGAGCCCAGAGGUGGCUGGGAUCUCUGCAUACAUGCAUGUGAAACUCUAGCAGAUACCAAGUCAUGUUAAGGGGGCUAAACGGCCCACUGCAGUUAUGUUAGCCAGUUCUGCCUCUGCCCAGUUCUGAGAUAUCUUUGGGACAAAUGGCCACUCCUCUGAGCCCCUGUGUCUUCCUGCAUGAGCCACAAAUGCUGUGUAGUCAUGGCUGAGGAAGAGGGAAGGUACCUGUGCUUGCAAACAUUCCUCUUGAAGGACUAUCCAGGAGCAGAGGGAGCAGCUGGGGGCAGCAUCAGUUGGUACCUGAGCCCAUUGGCACCUACUGCCACAUGGGGUAGUGGCCUGUCUCCUGAGCUUCCCCAAGCUGGCCAAAACUGGCCAGGACUGCCCUGCUCUCCCCUCCCAAUCCAGCUUUCUCUUGGGCCUCCAGGAUCCCUUGGCUAGCUGGUGUGGUGGCCAUGAGGACUGCACUUUUGCACCCCACCCCUGCCCUUGGCACACAUCGCAAAUCAAUAAUGCUAAACCUAGACAGGCCCCCAGGUCUUUCUGAUCAUAGCAUCCAUGCAGUGCUUCCCAUUGAUUGUGUCACCUAAUUGCCAACCCAGCCCUACACCUGCCCUUGUAACUGGUCCCUGGGCCGGGGGGUGUAGGAGGAUGCAAGGAUGAACAAGAUGCUGCCCUUGGUUAUAGGAUACACUACCUCCAGCUAGAGGUUAUCAGAUCUGUGCAUAAGAAAAUAACUAGGCGGGACUCAUUCAUUCAUGCGACAAAUAUUUACAGAGUCCUUGCUAUACGCAAUGAGUCAUUGAGGAGAAACCUACAGAAGGAUGAGGGGGACGGCUUUUCAGGCAGAAGGGUUAGUAAGUGCAAAGGCCCUGUGUUUGGUGCAUUGGAGAAAUUGCAAGAAAGCGGGUGAGACUGAAGAUCAACUCGUGAUACUUGGUAAUGAAUAUCACAUGAAAACAAGGAAGUUUUCUUGUCUAGCUCUGAAAUUUGCCUUGGUUGGCAGAUCCUUCCUUCCCAGAGAGCACACAUCAGUACUGCAGCUACAGCUGUCUGUCUGACAUACUUGUAAGAACGAACUGUUUAGUGCAGGCUCUGGGAGGCAGUGCCAUGCGGGUCACUGACAUACAUGGUGCCAAUCAUUUUUCUCCAUUCGUAAGGCACCUCAGGACCCCACUGGGGCCCCAGUGUUCCAGUAAGGAUACGGGUUUUGAGUUAAGGACCCGCCUUCCAGCUCCGUCUCUGUCACUAGCUGUGCUAAUUUGGAAAUAGGACUUCCUUUCCUGGCUUUGGUUCCUCAUCUAUAAAAAUUGCCCUUAUGUUAGGACCUACUUGGUAGACGCAUGAGAUAAAAUAAUUCGAGAAUGUGCAUAAACCAGGGAGCAGGGUGCUGUGGCAACUAUUAGGUAGCAUCAGUGAUAAAGCACUUUGCUUUCAUGGAUAUUUUAUGUGUUCACUAAAUCAGAACUUUCCUCUAUGCUGAUGUAGUCUAGUGAGGUCUGGGGAGUUUCUUGUUUGAUUUUGCAUUGCAAAUAUUCCUCUCUUCCCCUC
Molecule: long non-coding RNA, 4457 nt
Organism: Homo sapiens (human)
Lineage: Eukaryota; Metazoa; Chordata; Mammalia; Primates; Hominidae
Gene: MIR34AHG
Product: MIR34A host gene
Source: Ensembl